RNAcentral lists this ribosomal RNA (440 nucleotides) under uncultured bacterium. RNAcentral's name for it is "partial 16S ribosomal RNA". It matches the Rfam family "Bacterial small subunit ribosomal RNA", at positions 338 to 795 of the family's 1533-position model. The record is from RNAcentral.
CCUACGGGCGGCAGCAGUAGGGAAUAUUGCUCAAUGGGGGAAACCCUGAAGCAGCAACGUCGCGUGGAGGAUGAAGGUCUUCGGAUUGUUAACUCCUUUUGUUAGAGAAGAUAAUGACGGUAUCUAACGAAUAAGCACCGGCUAACUUCGGGCCAGCAGCCGGGGUUAUACGGCGGGUGCCACCGUUACUCGGAAUCACUGGGCGUAAAGAGCGCGUAGGCGGGAUAGCAAGUCAGAUGUGAAAUCCUAUGGCUUAACCAUAGAACUGCAUUUGAAACUGUUAUUCUAGAGUAUGGGAGAGGUAGGUGGAAUUCUUGGUGUAGGGGUAAAAUGCGUAGAGAUCAAGAAGAAUACUCAUUGCGAAGGCGACCUGCUAGAACAUAACUGACGCUGAUGCGCGAAAGCGUGGGGAGCGAACAGGAUUAGAUACCCUAGUAGUC